ACUCCUACGGGAGGCAGCAGUAGGGAAUCUUCCACAAUGGGCGCAAGCCUGAUGGAGCAACACCGCGUGAGUGAAGAAGGGUUUCGGCUCGUAAAGUUCUGUUGUUAAAGAAGAACACGUAUGAGAGUAACUGUUCAUACGUUGACGGUAUUUAACCAGAAAGUCACGGCUAACUACGUGCCAGCAGCCGCGGUAAUACGUAGGUGGCAAGCGUUAUCCGGAUUUAUUGGGCGUAAAGAGAGUGCAGGCGGUUUUCUAAGUCUGAUGUGAAAGCCUUCGGCUUAACCGGAGAAGUGCAUCGGAAACUGGAUAACUUGAGUGCAGAAGAGGGUAGUGGAACUCCAUGUGUAGCGGUGGAAUGCGUAGAUAUAUGGAAGAACACCAGUGGCGAAGGCGGCUACCUGGUCUGCAACUGACGCUGAGACUCGAAAGCAUGGGUAGCGAACAGGAUUAGAUACCCUGGUAGGAUAGCG
Molecule: ribosomal RNA, 473 nt
Filed under: uncultured bacterium
Lineage: Bacteria
Description: bacterial SSU rRNA
Rfam family: Bacterial small subunit ribosomal RNA
Source: RNAcentral